GACGAAGGGGGCUAGCGUUGUUCGGAAUUACUGGGCGUAAAGCGCGUGUAGGCGGUUUGCCAAGUCGGGUGUGAAAGCCUUGGGCUUAACCCAAGAAAUGCACUCGGUACUGGCAGACUAGAGGACCGGAGAGGAUAGUGGAAUUCCCAGUGUAGUGGUGAAAUACGUAGAGAUUGGGAAGAACACCAGUGGCGAAGGCGGCUAUCUGGACGGUUUCUGACGCUAAGACGCGAAAGCGUGGGGAGCAAAUAGG
RNAcentral lists this ribosomal RNA (253 nucleotides) under uncultured bacterium. RNAcentral describes it as "partial 16S ribosomal RNA". It matches the Rfam family "Bacterial small subunit ribosomal RNA", at positions 524 to 776 of the family's 1533-position model. The record is from RNAcentral.